GCAGGUUCAAUAAAAGGAAUAAGCAAAUAUUCCAGAUUCGCCUGCGUUUGCAAACAAAACCUGUUGCAAGGUUUGCAGGUUUUGAGGUUACUCCCCCCCUCCCCCCCUCAAAACAGCUAUUUGGGGAUUAAAAUUGUUCUGGACUGCUGCUGCAGGAGGAUAUUUUUUAUUCCCUUAAAGAUGCAGCUGUGUCUGAGAGGAACAUUUUGGGAGGAUUCUUGUGAGGGUUUGGUCACUCUCCUUUCUUUCGGAAUCCAUCCCUGUGCAUACAUUACGUCAACAGAGUCCAUUUUCAGAGAUUCAUCUCCCUUCUCCUGGCAGCAUUCCCCCUCUCUUUGCCUCUUUCCUCCCCUCUGACUUCUCCCUGGCUUUUUUUCCCAGUUUAUCAAGAUGUUGUAAUGUUUCCUGCUGCUCCUCACAGUGCUGCCCAUGGUGAUAGAUGCCACCACGGGAAGGAGGGAGACAAAUCCUGUGGGGAAACGCUGGGAGAAAGAAUCCAGGCUUCACGGAGGCUGCUGCCAGUUCAGGGUGAAGUCCUCAAGUCCAUCUGUUUUAUCCAGAGGAGUUAAGGGACCUAUGACUGACAUGAGUGUUCCUGGUCGGACAGCCUGAGCAGCUCCUCAGCCUUCCCAUCGGACAUGAAAAAAAGCACACCACAUGGACUUGAUCUAUCUUAUCCUGCUAAAAAUCCCAGGGAAGUUUUCCCUCAGGGGUCUCCUUCAAUCCCAGUCCUUUCUGCCUGGGCUGGGCACUCCAGAUUGUGGCAGUGUCGUAGCCUCAGUUACUGCAUCUCUGUCGUGAUAGUACUGCUCCAUUUGGGUAUAGGGGAGACAGCAGAACGAGUCCGAAGGAGAUUAUAUAAAUAAAGAGCAGCAAGGAGGAA
This is a non-coding RNA of Taeniopygia guttata (zebra finch), 883 nucleotides long. The record is from RefSeq and is a predicted model, not a curated record. NCBI's taxonomy places the organism in Eukaryota, Metazoa, Chordata, Aves, Passeriformes, Estrildidae.